GUGAAAGUAAGGGAAUGAGAAUUAGGACAGGGAGAUGGAAUGAAGGGAUGAGAGAUUGAGGACAAAGACUUGAGGGAGUGAGCAUGAGGUAUUAAAGGAAAGAAUAAAGAGAGAUGGUGAGAUAGAAAGGGUGAGAGUCAGGGAUUGAAAGAUUGAUGAGAGGAACGCGGAAGAGUGUGAAAGGAUGAGUGAACGUUCAGUGAUUUUGAAAUAGGUGUGUUUUACGUACACCAAAUACCUGUAUGCUGUACUAAUUAUAAUUGUACCUACAUUUUAUGCUCUCGCUCCAUUUCUUGUUAAUUUCUCUAUUAAUCCACACUGUGUAACCGCUGACAACCUAGAAACUUAACCCAUUUUCUAUUUGUUGUCCUUACAGGAAGGGCCUUAUAUGGAACUUGUCUGACUUCGGAGUAAUUCUAAGUGGGAGGAGAGGUUUUGUUUAGGCACUUUGACACCCUAUGUCUGAAUUAAACCCAUAUUAUGAUCGUCAGAAUUGAAUGAAAUUAAAUUCUUAGAGGUACUGAUUUUUUGCUUCCAUGUGAUUUUAGGUGACACAUGUUUGCAAUGUAAGUAAUAACUCAGAGGAAGAUUGUGUGAGUUGAGUUCAAUGGGUAGAAAUCAACCUCUACCUCCUUCCGCAACAACCCAAUUUAAUUAUGCCAGCUAAUUUAUUUGUGCCAUGCAGUUGUAUAAAUGUUGAAAGUUGAGGCUGUCCAAACGAAGCUCCAAGGUGCAAUUUAAGAGACUCCCAGUCCCAGGCCUCCGCUUUUCCAGCAUCCUCUGCUUCCUUGUCACCUAAUGAGCUCAACCAAUCAGCAAUCUGGGUUCAGAUGCCUUUGAAGGCAUGACAACAGAGCUUGAGGUCACUGAGGCGGAAAAGUAGAAAGAAAUGGAGAACAGAUCAACUAUAAGCUCUCACACACACACACGCACAAGAAGUGUAUUGGUGUGUGGAGAAGGACAGAACAAUGGUUCUUCAAUCAAUCAAAUUUGAUGUGUAUAUUUAUUUUUGCAAAUAAUCUGAGCCUAUAGAUUCCCAACAAGCAAGCAGAGGCGACAGUGGCAAGGAAAAACCUGCAGAGGCACCAGGCUAGAGAGGCAGUCCAUCUUCUUCUGGCUUGCCAAGGCAAGGGGUUCUUACAAGCACAUUGGCCAAGUUUCCAACAGAUCACCAUCUUGGGCAUUAUGGGUAAUGUAGUCCUGAUCCUGUCUUUAAUAAAGAACCAGAUCUCCCAUCUGAAAACCUUUGAGGUGUUUCUCCUGAGCCUUGCUGCCUCCAACCUGUAAGAGCUCCUUGUCGUAAACAUUUGCAACGUCAUCAUGUUCUGUGUCUGUCCUCACCCCCUUGUCCUGCCGGACGCUCAAGUUCCUCAUGGUGAGAGUAAAGUAGAGUACAGUAUAUGUAGCAGCGGAUGGCUAAAGUGCUACUGCCUUCCCAAGACCUACAAGUACUGUCACCCUGGAUCUCGAAAUUGCUUUUCUGGCUCAGUGGUAGGCUUUUGACAGUGCUUUUUGUUGUGUUACAGUGUGGAGAGUUAUAUGAGUUUGUGCUCUUGGCAGGCGGAAUUUACACAGUCUCAUAAGUACAAAUGUACUUAUAAAUCAUUCCUGUCAGAAACAAGUUGACAGCAGCUGAGAUAAUUGUAUAAUGUGAUAAUGUAUUAAUCUAUUUAUUUGGAAUGUAGGUGUUAGGUGAAAUCGGCAGCAUCCUCUUCACAUUCCUCAUCAGCAUCUUCUGGUACCAGACAACAUCUGGUUGGCCUGGGCUGUGAGUGGGCUGUGUGUGAUGCUAGCCAUGUUCCUGGGAGCUCCUACCUAUCUCAUGAACGUAGAUGGUCAUAUGGAUAACUAUACGCAAGACUGAGGCUGCCCUCCAGACUUCAUCCAGUGGCCCAAGGAGAACUGCCCGACCAUUAACUGUGUCUUCAGGUGCUGCUGGUUCAGUGGAGGGUGGUGGUGCCAGCGCUGAGUGCAGCAGGGGCGCCAGUGGAGCAGCCUCCCAGGAAGAAGGUCUCUACCUGGGGAUCGAAAGGAACACAGUGGGCAUCCUGGCUGCCAUGGGGGUGUUCCAGGUGGAAUGGAUCCUUCAGUCCCUACGACUUCCCCUUUUGGACCGAGGUGGAGUUCUUCAUCACAACGUCCUAUAUCACAAUCAGCCCUUAUGUGUAUGGGAUAGGGAGUAACCUGUUUUCUGUGAAACACUUUAAGAAGUAAUGGAAGAAAUACAUUUUAGGCCUUAGGUGUCAGGUGUACGCAAUUUUCUGUGCAGUAUGAUUAUGGGAUAAGGGAAUAACCUCUUCUCUGAAACAUGUAAUGAAGUAAUUGUGGUAUAUUUAUAAACCCUCUGUGUUAGAUGUAGGUGAUUCUCUAUUUUCUAUUAAGUAAUUUUAAGAAGUCAAAGCACGGUUUUUAGACGUAAACCACCGGUCAAAAGUUUUUGAAAUCCUACUCAUUCCAGGGUUUUUCUUUAUCUUUUACUAUUUUCUACAUUGUGGAAUAAUAGCGAAGACAUCAAAACUAUUAAAUAAAACAUAUGGAAUAAUGUAGUAACCAAAAGUGUUAAACGAAUCAAAAUAUAUUUUAUAUUUCAGAUUCUUCAAAUAGCCACCCUUUGCCUUGAUGAAAGCUUUGCAAACUCUUGGCAUUCUCAACCAGCUUCAUGAGGUAGUUACAUGGAAUGUAUUUCAAUUAACAGGUGUGCCUUAAAAGUGAAUUUGUGAAAUGUAUUUCGUUCUUAAUGCAUUUGAUCAGUUGUGUUGUGACAAGGUAGGGGUGGUAUACAGAAGAUAACCCUAUUUGGUAAAAGACCAAGUCCAUAAUAUUGCAAGAACAGCUGAAAUAAGCAGAGAAACGACAGUCCAUUAAUUUAAGACAUGAAGAUCAGUCAAUCGGGAAACUUUCAAGAACUUUUAAAAUGUCUUAAAGUGCAUUUGCAAAAAUCAUCAAGCGUUUUGAUGAAACUGGCUCUCACGAGGACCGCCACAGGAAAGGAAGACCCAGAGUUACCUCUGGCUGCAGAGGAUAAGUUCAUUAGAGUUACCAGCCUCAGAAAUGGCAGCCCAAAUAAAUGGUUUGCAGAGUUCAAGUAACAGACACAUCUCAACAUCAACUGUUCAGAGGAGACUGCAUGAAUCAGGCCUCCAUGGUCGAAUUGCUGCAAAGAAACUAAAGGACACCAAUAACAAGAAAAUACUUGCUUGGGUCAAGAAACACGAGCAAUGGACAUUAGACCAGUGGAAAUCUGUCUUUUGGUCUGAUGAGUCCAAAUUCGAGAUUUUUGGUUCAAACCGCUGUGUCUUUUGAGACGCAGAGUGAACGGAUGAUCUCCGAAUGUGUGAAUCAUGAAGGUCAUCCCAUCUGGUUUGCGCUUAGUGGGACUAACAUUUUUUCCCCAAAAGAACAAUGACCCAAAACAAACAUCCGGGGUGUGUAAGGGCUAUUUGACCAAGAAGGAGAGUGAUGGAGUGCUGCAUCAGAUGACCUGGCCUCCACAAUCAUCUGACCUCAACCCAAUUGAAAUGGUUUGGGAUGAGUUGGACUGCAGAGUGAAGGAAAAGCAGCAAACAAGUGCUCAGCAUAUGUGGGAACUCCUUCAAGACUGCUGGAAAAGCAUUCCUCAUGAAGUUGGUUGAGAGAAUGCCAAGAGUGUGCAAAGCUGUCAUCAAGGCAAAGGGUGGCUACUUUGAAGAAUCUAAAAUAUAUUUUGAUUUGUUUAACACAUUUUUUUUUACUACAUGAUUCCAUGUGUUAUUUCUUAGUUUUGAUGUCUUCACUAUUCUUCUACAAUGUAGAAAAUAAAUUAAAACCCUUGAAUGAGUAGGUGUGUCCAAACUUUUGACUGGUAGUGUGUGUGUGUGUGUGUGUGUGUGUGUGUGUGUGUGUGUGUGUGUGUGUGUGUGUGUGUGUGUGUGUGUGUGUGUGUGUGUGUGUGUGUGUGUGUGUGUGUGUGUGUGUGUGUGUGUGUGUGUGUAUA
Molecule: long non-coding RNA, 3973 nt
Organism: Oncorhynchus keta (chum salmon)
Lineage: Eukaryota; Metazoa; Chordata; Actinopteri; Salmoniformes; Salmonidae
Exons: 2
Source: RefSeq, a predicted model, not a curated record